Molecule: ribosomal RNA, 426 nt
Filed under: uncultured Sphingobacterium sp.
Lineage: Bacteria; Pseudomonadati; Bacteroidota; Sphingobacteriia; Sphingobacteriales; Sphingobacteriaceae
Description: bacterial SSU rRNA
Rfam family: Bacterial small subunit ribosomal RNA
Source: RNAcentral
GAGUUUGAUCAUGGCUCAGGAUGAACGCUAGCGGCAGGCUUAACACAUGCAAGUCGAGGGGCAGCAAGGGUAGCAAUACCUGUUGGCGACCGGCAAACGGGUGCGGAACACGUACGCAAUCUACCUUUAUCUGGGGCAUAGCCCGAAGAAAUUCGGAUUAACACCCCAUAAAAUAACAGAGUGGCAUCACUUAAUUAUUAAAACUCCGGUGGAUAAAGAUGAGCGUGCGUCCCAUUAGCUAGUUGGUAGGGUAACGGCCUACCAAGGCGACGAUGGGUAGCUGGUGUGAGAGCACGACCAGCCACACGGGCACUGAGACACGGGCCCGACUCCUACGGGAGGCAGCAGUGAGGAAUAUUGGUCAAUGGACGCAAGUCUGAACCAGCCAUGCCGCGUGGAGGAUGAAGGCCUUCUGGUUGUAAACUU